RNAcentral lists this transfer RNA (58 nucleotides) under Paenibacillus polymyxa. RNAcentral's name for it is "tRNA-Asn". It matches the Rfam family "tRNA", at positions 7 to 58 of the family's 71-position model. From Rfam's summary of the family: Transfer RNA (tRNA) molecules are approximately 80 nucleotides in length. Their secondary structure includes four short double-helical elements and three loops (D, anti-codon, and T loops). The record is from RNAcentral. Lineage: Bacteria; Bacillati; Bacillota; Bacilli; Caryophanales; Paenibacillaceae.
CCUGAUAGCUCAGUUGGUAGAGCACUCGACUGUUAAUCGAGUUGUCACAGGUUCGAGU